AAGAUCAGUAGUUUCUGGUUAGGGUUUUCUACUUCAGGAACGGGGGGUUGGAAGGGAAUCGGUGGCUAUUUUACAGCACGCUCCCAGUAUUUCAUCAAACACGAACAUAGGGGCUGCUCUGAAUAUUACAGCUGUGAUCAGCUGUAAUGAGUGAGCUAAUCACUCACCUUCAAGUUGAUUAAAAAGGAGAUUAUCAUGGAUGGGUCUGACCCAUCAGUUGGAAGACCUUCAACAGAGGGUCCAGGCUUUCCUGGGGGUUAAAGAUUGAGUCUCUUCAGGUCAUGCCUCUGGGGAUUCAUGUGCUCAUGAUCUGCCUUUCCUUUCUGCCCUAAGGAGGACUGUGGACCUGCUUAGCCAGCCUUCACAACUGCGUAAAAAAAAAAAAUUCUUGUGAUAAAUCUAUCAUCUAUCUAUCUAUCAUCUAUCUAUCUAUCUAUCUAUCUAUCUAUCUAUCUAUCAUCUAUCAUCUGUCUAUCUCUCAUUCCUUUUAUUGGUUCUGCUUCUCUUGUGGAUCCUAACUGAUAUACUCUGUGAGCCUUGGUGUGAUUAAUGACAUGAGGGAACUUAAUGUCUCAUACCAGGCUUGCUUUUCGAGUGACGUAAGAAAGUGCAUGGAAAGCCCAGGACCUGCAAAGUUGUCAACUCUAUUUUGGACACUAUCUCUGCUCCUUCCAUCUGAUCCUGGACAUUUACUCACAGGGUGCCAAUAAGUCUCCAGUUUUGGUGGCACUUCGGCCUUCUCCAGAGUACUGGCCCCGUUCUGUGGACACCUGAGCACGGGCCCCCAGUGGGGAGCUGUGUUCUCUCUCAGCCCAUAGCCGACAGCCUCCUGCUUUUCUCCUGCCUCAUCUCGCUUCUCGUCUUGCUGCAUAAGAGGCUCUCACCGGGAGUCUACCUACUGCUGCUGCUGAUUGAAAUUUGUAAUUACAAAGAUUAUUCUUUUGGCAUCUUAAAUGUGGGCUUAAGGCUGCAGUCCUCACCAGUCAGGACUUGCUCAUCAAUUUCUCCUCCAUCUACAUGAUUUUUCUCUUUACAAAAAUAAAACCGGCUCUGAUCCACCACCCCCCUUUCCAUGAAAAUACAAGCUGUUGUCCAUUUUGUACAAAGAUAUUGCCAUUGACAGAGAUAUUUCCUGGGCUUGCUGUAGUGUGAACUCUUAUCUGGCUUUAUUUUUGCCUCAGUGGUAGCUUAUAUCAUACGCCUAUACCCUGGCUCUUAAGUCCUGUGGAUAGGGAGCAGAUGAGUAAAGGAACACACUCCAGAAAAAAGGAAUGUAAAGGGGUUCAAUUGACUUUGAGAAAGCUGUGGCUGUGGUUGCCUCUUCUAGUGACAGUGCUCACUGGGGUGUGUCUGUCAGGGCAAGGGCUCCCUCUCAGCUGAAAGGCCCAUUCUCUUUGCCCCAAGAAAGGGAAUUCCUAAAAAGUAGGUGAGAACAAUGACAGUAAAAACACCCUGUCAUGUAGAACGCACAUGCGUUGGCCAGGCCAAGCUCCAUUUGGGUCUUCUCUACUACUCCCUUCUUUAUGUAACAGAGUCCUGGGUCCCUCUGUUUUCCUGAGGCCCAACAUGUUCCUAACAGAUCAGAAUUCCCUCCAAGAUCCCUAAUUGGCAGUUAUUUCCUGGCAGGGAACCUAAGCAGAAAAUGGUGUCCAACAUGUUCUCCAUCAUGACAAUGUGAAUGCUUAGACAGAUUGGUGUUUGAGGCGUGUUCUCAUUAGGUACAACCUUCAUUAAGAGUAAUUAAAACUUGGCAAAUAUUCUUUUUGGAUGAUUAAUAGGCCAUCUCCACUUCUUCUUUUGGGAGGUCAGUUGCCAGUUACCAAAAAUGAAACACCUGCCUUUACAUCAAUGUGGCUGCUGCCCGAAAUUUAGCAGCAUGCAGCAUUCCCAAAGCUGUUAAAUAUACCCAUCGUGCCAAAAAUAAUGGGGCCUUAGGUUUACCUAAGUCCUGAAUAAAUAUGGUGGAUUUGGGGACACAAAUCUGAUUAAAAACUUCUCCCCAGGCCAACAUGAAAAACUAAAUUAGCUUACUUAGUUAGGUAUAUGUAAUUUAUAAAGAAUAUAAAAUUGGAUGGCAAUGAAUGUUCAUUUUGGUGGUAUAAAACAUGUCUAAGAGUCUUUCAAUUUGAAUUCUAAUUAAUGCAAUUAAUAUUUUCCAUGCUCAGUUUCAGGGGAUACCUAUUCCCCAUGACCAAGUGAGCAUUAUGUAUGAAGUUCACCACCGAAGCGCUUUAGGAAGAGAUUGUUGAUUAGACUAGGAGGUGAAAUGAUGAAGUUCUAAGGCAGGAAACUCUGCUUAACACUUUAUGACUGUUGUUUGUAGAUGAUGGAUCUGUUAAGGAAGGACAUUUUAUUACUGGAGCAUCUUAUUCAGUGUGGGGUCCACAGGGGUUCCAGUUCUUUCAGUUGACUCCUACUGUCCCCUCUGGGCCAGACCUCAUCACAACCAUCACUGCUCUCCACCUUCAGAAGUCUGCAAAGGACACGCAUUAUCUUUAGUUUCUAUGCAGAUGAGGAUACAGAGGCUCCAAGGUUUCCAGCGACCUGCCCAAGUCAGAGCGGAUCACCUGCACCCCCGUCAGCUGGAAGGGGGGACAGGCUCUGGCCUGGAGGGGCCUCCCUCCCCUGCCUGAGUCACAAGCCCACACCCUCCACUGGCAUCCUGCUCCUGCGGUGGCAGAGCCCUGAAAAGGAUUUCCUCUCUCUGGACUCCCA
This 2715-nucleotide long non-coding RNA is filed under the name Canis lupus familiaris (dog). Its description in RNAcentral is "lncRNA (ENSCAFG00000055485.1)". The record is from RNAcentral. Lineage: Eukaryota; Metazoa; Chordata; Mammalia; Carnivora; Canidae.